GUAGGACUUUGUACCAGAGUUCCCUGCAGCAUCAAAAGUGAUGCCACCGUGAUGUCAGCCAGUCAGCCAUCACAGCGAUUGCACAACCAAAGUUUGCAAGAAAAACAGAGUGAUCCAUCCUAAAGUCCCCACAGCCCCGAACGUCUGAGGAAAAACUCAGCCAUGGAGCAGAAGACAAAUGAGAGUCCCACCAACACCUCUCCUCAGAAACACAUGAAAAACAGGUCUAAGUCCACAGAGGAGGUGCAGCAGUCAAAGAAGGUGAGCCUGCAGCAGCCUGACAUUCACCAUAGCACACUAUUUCUUCCCUCACCCUAUGAGUCAACCUUACUGUCUUACCUCACAGGCCUUUUCCUCACAAAAAUCACUUCCAGGCAGACCAGAGCUGGAGAGAGUGAAGGUGAGAUGUAUCACUGUUCUAACGUAUUGGCAUUAAAGCCUAAAGCUAUGUUUAAAACCAGAGUUUUAUUUUUAUUUGUUGCAGGAAUGUCCUGA
Molecule: long non-coding RNA, 495 nt
Filed under: Oreochromis niloticus (Nile tilapia)
Lineage: Eukaryota; Metazoa; Chordata; Actinopteri; Cichliformes; Cichlidae
Description: lncRNA (ENSONIG00000037537.1)
Source: RNAcentral